CCAGAUCUAAGAUCGAUUCCUCACUCCUUAGUCCUCACUCCUCAGCAUCUUGUCUCUCUCGACUCUCGACUGUCGAUCUCCGCGCCUCUCAACUCUCAAUCUCCGCGCCUCUCGUCGUCGCCGACUGUCUGUCUCUUCGUGCCUCUCGUCGUCGCCGAUUGAGCCAGAAAUGACGUAGGCGAGGCGGGGUGGAAGAGGAAGAGAGGAGAUGGGUAGUGGGUGGAGCUUGGAUUCGACGAAGACGUCGUCAACUGUCUGUCUCUUCGUGCCUCUCGUCGUCGCCGAUUAAGCCGGAAAUGAGGUAGGUGAGGCGGGGUGGAAGAGGAAGAGAGGAGAUGGGUAGUGGAUGGAGCUUGGAUUCGACGAAGACGGAGGCGGAAGAGCCGUCGGAGGUGGCGUAACGGUGGAGGGGGGGAUGGGAGUUCUGUUCUGCAACAGUAUAACCAAAAAGAUGAAGACUGCUUCACUCCAAUAUUAAUGAAGGUCCAAUCAGCGCAGUAAAAGCAUUUUACACCAUAAACACCUAUAGAGGCGCAUCCCUUUGAUUCAAUAGCUUCCGCUUUGCAUUAUGUAAGAUCACUUAGUAAUAUGUUCUAUGCAAUUUAGUGCAGUUAAACACGGAGUGGGACAACUGUUAUGCAAUUUGUACUUUAUUUGUAAAUAUUCUGCUGCAUUUAUUGAAUUCAGUUAAUUGGAG
RNAcentral lists this long non-coding RNA (697 nucleotides) under Panax ginseng (ginseng). RNAcentral describes it as "long non-coding RNA (PGIN_LNC006448)". Lineage: Eukaryota; Viridiplantae; Streptophyta; Magnoliopsida; Apiales; Araliaceae. The record is from RNAcentral.